UCUACGUUAAAACGCAACUUUAUUGGGAAGGUUCGGUUUGGGCUGCGUUCGAAGGCAAUGGUUGUUGUCGCGGAUCGGCCGAACCGGCCGCGAUUUUAUGCGAACGAUUCGGUCGGUUACGGUAGCCGCCAAUUAUCGUUAAUUGAGAUCCCGAAAUUGCAACGCGGACGGAGGCAGCUGCCGCAUCGGAUACGAUCGAGAAUGGAGAUCCACCGGAGGAGGAUCGACGCGCUCACCGGGGCAGAAAUGACCGAGCUCGUCUCCUCCUGUGUGGCAUCGUAAAUGCUAAUUUAUAUCAAUCAUAGCCUUUGCCUACAACGUUGUCGCCACGGGAGGCUAUCGCUCGUGGCGAUUCCCUUUUAGUACUCUUUGCAGCCAGAGAUAUGCGCGAUUAUUGUGUGUACGGUUACAAGAUAUGAGACGCGGAUAUGGAGAUAAAGAAGAGAUUUUCUGGUUUUACAGCGUUGGAAGACGCUUUUUGCAUAGACAAGUCGAAGCCAUUGAUGGAAAGGAACUAUAAUCUCUGACAGAACGAAGAAGCAAUUACCAAAUAUAGACAUUGAGUAAUCUAAGACAGAAGAAAAACUGUACAUAUCGGUUUAUCGGUGUCAAUGAGAUGCCCACGGGCCACAGUCCUGGUCCAAGGUUGUCCACCUGCUGCGCUAUCUAUCCGAUACACGAUGUGUCCAAGACCGUCCGGCGAGUCCACGCCCCGGCUUGGGCGCAAACGUCGCGAUCGUAGCUGCGCGUGCGACACUUCUAGCCGUCCUGUCGCCUCCAAUGAAGACAUCCUGUUUCAAUAACGUCGUCAAAUCUAAGCAAAGUCACUGACGUGAUGCGUAGAUGCGUUCAGGAAAUCUUCGAUCUACGAUACGAGGAUCAUAACGAACAAAACGGACAGAUCAAUUAAAGUCAUAAGAUAAGCGACGUCAAAACCGUAGAAAUAUGGUAAGAGGUGCCUCAAAGAUGCGGGACACCGCUUCUACAGACUCUUAAUAUCUGUUUGGAAGCUGUUCUCUUACAUUUUUGUAGCUUUAACGCAAAUCAUGCGGAUGCUUUGAAAUUGCCACAGAACGCGGAAUAAUUAAAGAAAUCUUUCGCAUUUUUUUAUUUAGAAACAAUCCAUUGCUAAAUGACGUCAUUAUGUACUACUUAAGUCGCAGAUUAAGUAUAAAAGCAAAGCAUACAUCUUGGAAAUUCGCAAUCGUUACGAUCGAUCGUAGAAAUUUUUCAUGUUGGCGUGACCGAACGCAUGGUCUGACCACGUCACCUAUUCUACUGUGAAUCUAUCGCGUGGAACAUUCGCCACCGAGUAUUCUGCGUCGCUCUGGCUGCUCUCGAUACGUUCAUAAAAGACGAUACAACAAGAGGAACGUGUUUUACCUGCUCGAACCGUUUCCAUUUGUUCACCUGUUGUUUUCGUCUCAGGAGGCCCGUCAGGGGAUUAUAAGGAUUUCGUGGAUAGCAGAGCCAGCAAGAAGACCAAUUAAAUUUCGCCCGUCACGAAGAGAAUCCCUCGGUUAAAGAAGCUGCUUGCUUAGGGCCCCCUCGAGAAUAAUGUACCGCAUUCCAAAUGAGGAGAUUUACACAAUCGGGGCGGCGGCGGACCCUCGCUCGAAGCAACAAGUCUUUUUGCCGGAAUCGUUCCGGUGAUCGUUUUCUUUGCUGAUUCUGGCUUUCUUUUUGCCACUUGGUUCCACCGUCGCGGCAAUUAGGAAGUCCUGAUUUCUGAAUUACGUUCUCGGUGGUUGUUUUUAUUCUGUAAACCGCGAGGGACCAGAGACGAAGAACAAUCGACUUCUACGAUCGCGAGAUGGCGAAACCAGGAGAGAAUACAGAGAGGAGCGUUUAAGCGAGCAUUAAGCGGUCAGGCGUUGUUUCGACGUCAUUACCCACGAAAACAGGUUUGGGUAUUAAGCGUUUGAAAAUAUCAGCCCCGCAUUUCUCCCUGGUAUUACGGUCGACGCGGAAUUACGCAUUCAGCGUAAAGUGGAUUACGAUUAUCGCGAGCUGCGUUGAGCGUUUACCGCUUAAGAAUAUCUUGGUCUUCAUAAAGGCGCACAAGAAUGCGUAAGAACCUAGCUGACGCGACGGGGUGGAUGAAACGUGGAUGACACGAUGCUUGGAGAGCACGAUAUAAUCAUUAAGAGAAUCCUGCUACGAAGUAUGUAUUAUAUCUCGAAGCGAUAUACGAUUUUAUUAUUACUAUUAUUUAUUGUUAUUUCUAGUGGUGGAUUUAGCUUGGAUGUGAAUCGAGUCUGAAUUAAUUUUGAUUUCUUUCGCAAAGACAAAGAAUGUAUAAUUUUUCGUUUAACUUCUCCUCUCUUAACUUUUCAAUUUGUUGGCAUCUCAUCAGAGCUUACAAACUUCGUUAUCGAAAAUAUGUUAUUUAUUUUACUCGUUAUUUUUUUCUUUAAAUAUUAUUUUUUAUCGCUUGUC
Molecule: long non-coding RNA, 2439 nt
Organism: Bombus huntii
Lineage: Eukaryota; Metazoa; Arthropoda; Insecta; Hymenoptera; Apidae
Exons: 3
Source: RefSeq, a predicted model, not a curated record